Vespa velutina is the source of this 2241-nucleotide long non-coding RNA. RefSeq lists it as uncharacterized. The record is from RefSeq and is a predicted model, not a curated record. The transcript is spliced from 3 exons. Lineage: Eukaryota; Metazoa; Arthropoda; Insecta; Hymenoptera; Vespidae.
UCAUUCUACUAUUAAAAUUUCUAUUAAACAUACAAAUUUUUAAUAUGCACACACACACACACACACAUAUAUAUAUAUAUAAAUAAAUAUUUCGUUAUGAUAAUAUAAAUAAAUAUUUCGUUACCGUGUUUUGCACGCUUUUACCCUAAUACUAAGAAAUAUUUUCAUUAACGUCCAGAAUUUCCUUUCAUAUCUUCGAGAAAUCCAAAGGGAAUGGAAUAAUACCAAACUAACUGGAAGGAUAUCACGGUAGGACUUGGUAGGAAUUUCGAGGCAAGUGACAGGUAGUCUCGCGAUGAGUACGUGCCAUACAAGAAGGUAGAAUGAAGGAAAAGCACGUAUGUGGAACGACCAUUUGUCGUCUUUCUCGAUGCUUUUUAUUUAACGAUCGAUAUGACUCCGUCGACUAGAGUAAGUUAUAUACGGUAGAACAAACAAAUCAUCCUACCGAGUUUUCUUACGCACGUAUUAUAUUUCCUAAUCUCUUUCACUGUACCAACCUAUUACUUCCUUUAGAUAUUCGAUUUGUCUUCCAAGCCACGAACGUACACUUUGAUUAAGAAAAAUUAUUCGAUAGGCACAACAACGAGAUCCUUGGAUAAAAGCCAAAAUAAUACAACUGAGAAAGACGAGAUUUUUCCAAAUGUCGUUUCUUCCUACUACGUGCCUCUUCGACGAGACAAGAGACAUUGAUAAUAAUAUAUAUAUAUAUAUAUAUAUAUAUAGAAAAAAAUAAAAUAAAAAAAGGAAAGAAAGAAACUAGAUGAAGACCAAAGGAAAUCGGACCGAAUCGAGAAGAUACUUUCGUAAGAGCGUUCUAGAUCGCCGUUCAAGUAGGAAAAAUGGUUACUCUCUCUCUCUCUCUCUCUCUCUCUCUCUCUCUCUCUCUCUCUCUCUCUCUCUCUCUCUCUCUCUCUCUCUCUCUCUUUUUCUUUCUCUGCGUAAAUAACAAACAAUUUAGAAUAAUCGAACUGAACGAAAAAGACACAGAGGAUAAAGACCGGUGAUUUUCUCGACGAAACAACGAGUUCCUUUUUUUUUUUUUUUUUUUUUAAGCCGAUUGCACGAUGCAUCGACGAACGUUUUGGAUUUGUAUUGGAUAAUGACCGAUUCAGAAAGCUGAGAACUGUAAAGAUUUAACGUGCUAUAAAAUUUCAUUGGAAAAGCUCGGUAUUAUAUCGGAUUCAUGUUCAAGACAAAUAAAUAGAUAAAAGAAUAGUGAUACAUUCAAAGAUGUUGCAAAUCGAAAAACGAUCCGAUUAUUACUUUGUACUACGUUAAUUCGAAAACGGUAGAUACCGGAUUAUUAUUAUCUACGUUAUCGAACUAAAGUAAAGGAAAUUGGAGAGAAAAAUAAAACUAAGAUAGAAAAAGAAAAAGUGAAAGAAAGAAAGAAAGAAAGAAAGACAGAUACAAAAAGAGAGAGAGAGAGAAAGUAGAACGAUCGAACGUGUCUAAAGAGCUAGUAGUAAAGUUGGAUAUAAAAAAGCACGAUUCACUAUGCGCCGUCACGAUAUCAGAAGCGUUUACUUAUCAACGAUCAAGCUGAGUAUAAUGACUCGAAACAUCGAUGGUUAGCAUUUUGGUGUCUCGCUUGUAUCCCGGGGGCUCCUAAACGCCGAAAUAUUCGCGAACGUUGCAUGAAUUGCAACAAGAAUAUACCGAUAAAAUUGCUGGCAGCCACAUCUCUGACUGUGAUUGUAUAUAAGAGUACGACAACAUCGAGACAAAAGAUCGAUUAACAACAGCGUUGAUGGGAAAAAUUUCAAAUUAAUAUUAAACUCUCGAUGAUGGACUUCCACCGAUGCCGCUGUCUGCAUACUGACAAACUGAAUAAAAAGGACGAGAAUGAGCGUCUCACUGAAGGGCGUCAAUCAAGAUGCCAAUCGCAACAUCCGACGACGUCCAUCGGAAUAACGAGGAAAACAAGGACGAACCGACGAGAACGGUAGAAUAUAGAGACUUAAACGAAUGCGUGCAUUAGUCGUACCGAACGCAGACUUGCACUUUGCUCGAACGAAGUUUCGACAGAAAGAAGAGAAGAGGAUGAAUCGAUCGAUCGAUUGAUCGUCGUAUACAUCGAUUAGAGAGGAAAGUGCCUCGAGGGAAGAGACCAGUUUCGACACCAUUGCCUUCGCCCCAGUGAUUGUUAAUUACGGGAUAAAUCGAUCCACGCCCCAAUUAAAUGAUCGUAUCGUUCCCGUUCGCACGUGCCUUUCUUGCAUCGAUGAGAGAGGGAGA